AGCAGCCGCGGUAAUUCCAGCUCCAAUAGCGUAUAUUAAAGUUGUUGCAGUUAAAAAGCUCGUAGUUGAAUUUCGGGAUCAAUAUAUCGGUCGUGCCUCCGGUAUGCACUGGUAUUAUUGAUUUCUACCUUCUGACGAAUCAUGAUGUCAUUAAUUUGGUGUCAUGGGGAAUCAGGACUGUUACUUUGAAAAAUUAGAGUGUUUAAAGCAGGCACACGCUUGAAUACAUUAGCAUGGAAUAAUGAAAUAGGACGUUUGACCCUAUUUUGUUGGUUUCUAGGAUCGACGUAAUGAUUAAUAGGGAUAGUUGGGGGCAUUAGUAUUCAAUUGUCAGAGGUGAAAUUCUUGGAUUUAUUGAAGACUAACUACUGCGAAAGCAUUUGCCAAGGAUGUUUUCAUUAAUCAAGAACGAAAGUUAGGGGAUCGAAGACGAUCAGAUACCGUCGUAGUCUUAACCAUAAACUACGCCGACUAGGGAUCGGAUGAUGUUAAUUUUUAAUGUACUCAUUC
RNAcentral lists this ribosomal RNA (510 nucleotides) under uncultured Glomeromycotina. RNAcentral's name for it is "SSU rRNA". It matches the Rfam family "Eukaryotic small subunit ribosomal RNA", at positions 569 to 1081 of the family's 1831-position model. The record is from RNAcentral. Lineage: Eukaryota; Fungi; Glomeromycota.